This 200-nucleotide unclassified non-coding RNA is filed under the name Penicillium sp. Its description in RNAcentral is "partial internal transcribed spacer 2". The record is from RNAcentral. Lineage: Eukaryota; Fungi; Ascomycota; Eurotiomycetes; Eurotiales; Aspergillaceae.
UUAAGUUCAGCGGGUAUCCCUACCUGAUCCGAGGUCAACCUGAAAAAAGAUUGAUUGGGGUCGGCAAGCGCCGGCCGGGCCUACAGAGCGGGUGACAAAGCCCCAUACGCUCGAGGAUCGGACGCGGUGCCGCCACUGCCUUUCGGGCCUGCCCCCGGGGGAGCAAGGCCCAACACACAAGCCGGGCUUGAGGGCAGCAA